GCAUAGUAUCAACCUAAUCGGGGAUCACUAUCAUUUUAGCCGUAUAUUUUUUGCAUCCAAUAACUGAAAACCCAAUAGCACCAAUAACUUUGUGCUAUUAAUAGUAUAUAUAUAUUCCAACCAAGUUCUAUAUAGAGUCCGCGUGGGAUAUUAUCGAUACCACCAAGCACUUGGUGCUACCAAAGUUUCCGCCAUUAGAUUUAUCCCUUUCAUCAUUUCUAAUCGUUAGAUAAUAUUAGAAUAUAGUAGGGCUAUUAUAUUCUUAUAAAUAUAAAAUCCUUUGCACUCAUAAGUUGUUUUUAUUUAUAGAGCUUCCAAAUCGAUGAUCUAUACCGUUAAAUAUGAUUUACAGUAUUCGAAACUUCUAAAGAAUAAAUUUCGUAAUUUCGAAAUUAUAACAAAAGCCCAACAAACGGUUAUAAAAUGAAUGGUCAAAAUUGAACGACAUCCUAAAUAUGGAUAAUCGGAUUUUUUAAUUUAAGAUUAGAGUUAUUGAUUUUUAUCUAGAUAGUAAAUAAUAUUUUCUAUCAAAAAUUCAACUAAUUUUGAUUUUUUUACACUGUUAAACUAGCAAUUAUUUUAUACCGAUCAUUAAAAGUUUUCAAUUUUGAGUUUUUUGAUUGCAAGGUAAAAUAUGAUGAAAGAUUGUAAAAUUGGAUUUCUAAAUAUUUCAAAUUCUUUGAAUCAUGUUUAACAGUAUGGAUCGUCGAUUUGAAAAUUUUAUUAUCGAAAACGACUUAUGAGUACGAUUCGAAAAUGUAAUGCCGCAACUUCCCAGGGGGUCACCCAUCCUAGGACUACUCCCGUCCUAGCACGCUAAACUCUCUUAACCUCUUGGGUCUUGUCACCACCCAAAAUGCUUAAGCCGGGUUAAGAGUUUAGCCCUAUUAUAUCUCAUAUAUAGGACUAUCUGGGGUCUCACAAUCUCCCCUCCUUUAAGCCCUGACGUCCUCGUCAGGCUCAGACUCACAAGUACCAGGCGAUGUGAGACUCGUCUCGCUAGCCCGUCAUCCAGACCCUGGCUCAGCCGAGACUCAUCUCACACUUCCGGCUGGUAAUUGGCUCUGAUACCAUCUGUGACGCCCCAACUUCCCAGGGGGUCACCCAUCCUAGGACUACUCCCGUCCUAGCACGCUUAACUCUCUUAACCUCUUGGGUCUUGUCACCACCCAAAAUGCUUAAGCCGGGUUAAGAGUUUAGCCCUAUUAUAUCUCAUAUAUAGGACU
This 1226-nucleotide long non-coding RNA is filed under the name Ananas comosus (pineapple). Its description in RNAcentral is "long non-coding RNA (ACOM_LNC026169)". Lineage: Eukaryota; Viridiplantae; Streptophyta; Magnoliopsida; Poales; Bromeliaceae. The record is from RNAcentral.